CAUGGCGGGGCUGAGGGGAUGGAGGGGCCAGCAGGGAGCACAGAGGGCUCCGGGACUGCAGCUCUGCCAGGCCUUGGAACCAAUUCCAGAGCCUCCACUUUUGCCACAGCUGCAAUGAAGACCACGAGGACCGCCGGAGACUGCCGGGAGCCAGCAGGGAGGAGCCGAAGGCCAGCAGCAGGAGCAGGGAGCGAGGCCCUGCUGCUGCCAGCCUGGAGAGAGCCCGGAUGUCCUAUCUGCUGUCCCUGUGCAGGAGAGCUGCUCUGCCCGGGAGGAAGAGGCCGCAGGAGAGGCUUUGAAGAUGGGGCAGCUGGGGUCCCUCUGCUUGGAGUUAUCUUGAAAGAUACACGGACUUGCACGUGGACAGGGAUUGUUAUAUGGAUAUGUACAUAUGUAGCCUUCUAGUUGUACAGGAACAUUUCUAUAGAUAUGGUAUUAUAUUUAUGAAUAUACUAUGUACAUAUGUAAGUAUAGAUACUUGCAUACGUACAAGUUUUCAGUUACAUAUUUGUGUGUAAAGGUAUCUAGUUCUUUAUGUUUAUUGUAAUAUCUGUGUUUAGAUUUCCAUAUGGAUAGAGUGGUGUAGGUAUCUAUCUGUAUUGAUGUAGUUUUCAGUAUGUGUCUUUUUAAAAAGGCAUAUUGGUAUUUGUAUAAGUAUAUAUGUUUGGUUUUAUAUUUUUAGCUGUAUAGUGAUAUAUUUCUAUAUAUAUAAUAUUUACAUAAUAUCCAGAUGUAUAGCUGGUUUUGUAUCGAUGCAGUUGUACAGAUACUUAGAUUGGCAGUGCUGUUUGUCUAGUUGUAGAUAGGUUUGUUUUAUGUAUCUGUUUCCUGAAUGUAUAAUGUAAUAUUUAAUCUAUAUUCACAGCUCUAUGUUGUGAUGAUUAUAUAUGUAUUCAUUUCUAUUUAAAUAUGUAUGGAGUUAUAUAGCGAUGUAAUUCUAUUUAUUGAGUUCUCUGUAUUAGAAACACAUACUGAUAUUUUUUUUGUAUUUUUACAUGGGCUGUACACUUGUUGUAAUAUGCAAUAAACUAAGUUGUUAAUUUUCUGCUGAUAGUUGUGUAUAAUGAGUGUUUGUAGAGGUUUGCAAUAAAUUAGUUUUUAUGAAA
Passer domesticus (house sparrow) is the source of this 1106-nucleotide long non-coding RNA. RefSeq lists it as uncharacterized. The record is from RefSeq and is a predicted model, not a curated record. NCBI's taxonomy places the organism in Eukaryota, Metazoa, Chordata, Aves, Passeriformes, Passeridae. The transcript has 2 exons.